This 328-nucleotide ribosomal RNA is filed under the name uncultured eukaryote. Its description in RNAcentral is "partial 18S ribosomal RNA". It matches the Rfam family "Eukaryotic small subunit ribosomal RNA", at positions 1470 to 1796 of the family's 1831-position model. The record is from RNAcentral.
CCCUUAGAUGUUCUGGGCUGCACGCGCGCUACACUGAAGCGUUCAACGAGUAUUCACCUUGCCCGGGAGGGUUGGGUAAUCUUUUGAAAACGCUUCGUGAUGGGGAUAGAUUAUUGCAAUUAUUAAUCUUCAACGAGGAAUGCCUAGUAAGCGCAAGUCAUCAGCUUGCGUUGAUUACGUCCCUGCCCUUUGUACACACCGCCCGUCGCUCCUACCGAUUGAAUGGUCCGGUGAAGCGCUCGGACCGCGGCCUCUUGACGGUUUUCCGUCGAUUGGCUGUGGGAAGUUCGUUAAACCUUAUCAUUUAGAGGAAGGAGAAGUCGUAACA